Callorhinus ursinus (northern fur seal) is the source of this 533-nucleotide non-coding RNA. Lineage: Eukaryota; Metazoa; Chordata; Mammalia; Carnivora; Otariidae. The record is from RefSeq and is a predicted model, not a curated record.
ACAGAGCUGAGCCUUUGUACCACCGCAGGACACCAGCGCCCGCCACACGCCCCUGUCACGAAGGCUGGGGGCAGGGGGAGCUGGGGUGCAGCGUCAUGCAGCCAUGCUGGAAGGCAGGCUGGCGGCUUCUUAUAAAGCUGAACAGAGCCUCACCAUAUGCCCCAAAGUGCUCACAGUUAUCGACCCAACUGGUUCGAAAUCUUUUAUCCAAGUAAAACCUGUGUGAAGGUUCUGUGCUUUAUGCACGACGACUCAACCUGGAAGCACCCAAGCUGCUCUUAGGUGAACAGACACUGGCAAUCCAAAACGGGGACUACAUCAGGGACACACAGGACCACGCUACGGACGCGCUCGAUGCCAUGGAAGCACCUGGGCUGCACUUGGCUCGGGGAAGGAAGCCAGAUCGUGUGGUUGUGCUCACGGCACCAGGAACAGGCCAGACCACGGGCAGGAGAGGCCUCGGGGGCUGCGUGGGCGUUUUCAUGGAGGCAAACGGCAAACAGCAGAAUGAAAAUAAACUCCAUCCCACGGUA